RNAcentral lists this ribosomal RNA (864 nucleotides) under uncultured bacterium. RNAcentral's name for it is "bacterial SSU rRNA". It matches the Rfam family "Bacterial small subunit ribosomal RNA", at positions 58 to 916 of the family's 1533-position model. The record is from RNAcentral.
CAAGUCGCACGAGAAAGUCCUUCGGGAUGAGUAGAGUGGCGCACGGGUGAGUAAUACAUGGGAACGUGCCUCUGAAUGGGGGAUAACUACGGGAAACUGUAGCUAAUACCGCAUAGUAACGGAAGUUUAAAGCUGGCCUCUAUUUAUAAGCUAGUGUUCAGAGAUCGGCCCAUGUCCCAUUAGCUAGUUGGCGGGGUAAAAGCCCACCAAGGCGACGAUGGGUAGCUGGUCUGAGAGGACGAUCAGCCACACUGGAACUGAGACACGGUCCAGACUCCUACGGGAGGCAGCAGUGGGGAAUUUUGCACAAUGGGGGAAACCCUGAUGCAGCAAUGCCGCGUGAGUGAAGAAGGCCUUUGGGUUGUAAAGCUCUUUCGGCUGAGAAGAAGGGCAGUAUGGCUAAUAUCCAUAUUGUUUGACGGUAUCAGAAGAAGAAGCACCUGCUAACUUCGUGCCAGCAGCAGCGGUAAUACGAAGGGUGCAAGCGUUGUUCGGAAUUACUGGGCGUAAAGGGCGCGUAGGCGGGUUUGUAAGUCGAAUGUGAAAUCCCCGGGCUUAACCUGGGACGUGCAUUCGAUACUGCUAAUCUUGAAUGCUUGAGAGGGUGGUGGAAUUCCUAGUGUAGAAGUGAAAUUCGUAGAUAUUAGGAGGAACACCUGAGGCGAAGGCGGCCACCUGGCAAGACAUUGACGCUAAGGCGCGAAAGUGCGGGGAGCAAACAGGAUUAGAUACCCUGGUAGUCCGCACCAUAAACGAUGGAUACUAGAUGUUUGGAGAAUUAACCCUCUGAGUAUCAAAGUUCACACAUUAAGUAUCCCGCCUGGGGAGUACGGCCGCAAGGCUGAAACUCAAAGGAAUUGACGG